AGUGACAAAAUCUCCUCAACCUUACAAUUGCGCAAUAAGCAAUCCCUUCUCAGGCUCGUGCGCAAGAACUGGUCGGUUACUGUGGGCAGGAACUGAUAAUUUUUACUUUUGUUAUGAAUUUUUCAGUACUUGGAAUGUGGCGUACAGAAGUAACGUGGAGGGACCUGGGGUGAGGAGAGCUCCGAGGGCACUGGCAGGAGGGAGCAGGGCAGGAGGGGGGUCCGAGGCUUCCCCCUUCAUCACCAGCAGGCUUUGACUCACUACUGGCCUUUCAGCCUGGAAAAUUACACUAGGCGAGGAAGUGAAGUGAAGGCGAGGAGCCCGUGUUUAAGGGGCCGAAGGCAGCACCCGCCGCUCUCAGAGGGGCCGGAGAGCCCAGCGUCCUCCCUCUCCAGCGCAGGGGAAAGGUGCAACCGCAGACGCGGCCCUUGGGCUGCUUGUCCCGCAGGGACGUGACGGACGACAGGCUGCAGGGUGACAGAGUGACUCUUUGGCGACCAGAUGUGAAGAAGCAGCACCAAACAAGAGCACCAUUAGACCAAAAAGUCGUCCCGUCUGAGGCGCCGGAGCAGCGGCGCGGGGCUUGAUGCAAAGCGGAGCAGCCCGGGCAGUAGGACAGCAGCAAUUCAGAGCACUUUUCAGCUAAUUUGGCUCCUUUCAGGACUUGCAGCUCCAUAAAGCAAAGAUUGUUGGGGUUUCAGAGGGUGGCAGCGGCUGCGGGAGCUCGCGCUGCCGGCGUGGUCCCCAGGCACCCUUGGGUGCUGCCUGCGCCGGGCUCGGCCAAAGCCUGGGUGCCCCCGCGCCAGAGCGCAGGGAGGGUCCCGGCGUUUGCCGCAUCCACCCCGGCAGCCUCUGUUCAGACGUUCCCAGCGUCCGUGGUGGUUCUUGCACACGCUGCAAACCACUCGUAGCAGCAGGAGCACUUUUUCCUGUCUAUAAGGCAGCUCUGACUUGGCAGGGCUCGUCAAGGAUACAUGAUAUUUACCUCCAAUUUGCAUAUGUUUUGUGAAUGGCAAGGGGCACACGCUGCCGCUGUGUCACUGGUAACCGCUCGCUGCUUUUAUUUCU
Long non-coding RNA from Grus americana (Whooping crane), 1068 nucleotides. RefSeq lists it as uncharacterized. The record is from RefSeq and is a predicted model, not a curated record. Lineage: Eukaryota; Metazoa; Chordata; Aves; Gruiformes; Gruidae. The transcript has 3 exons.